Molecule: ribosomal RNA, 263 nt
Filed under: uncultured bacterium
Lineage: Bacteria
Description: partial 16S ribosomal RNA
Rfam family: Bacterial small subunit ribosomal RNA
Source: RNAcentral
GAUCAUGGCUCAGGAUGAACGCUAGCUACAGGCUUAACACAUGCAAGUCGAGGGGCAUCAGGGUGUAGCAAUACACCGCUGGCGACCGGCGCACGGGUGAGUAACACGUAUCCAACCUGCCCUUUACUCGGGGAUAGCCUUUCGAAAGAAAGAUUAAUACCCGAUGGCAUAACAUGACCUCCCUGGUUUUUGGUUUAUUUAAAAGAAAUUUCGGUUAGAGGAUGGGGAGUGCGUUCCAUUAGGGCAGUUGGCGGGGUAACGGG